GGGCCCGCACAAGCGGUGGAGUAUGUGGUUUAAUUCGAUGCAACGCGAAGAACCUUACCAGGGUUUGACAUCCUGCGAAUCUCUUGGAAACGAGAGAGUGCCUUCGGGAACGCAGUGACAGGUGGUGCAUGGCUGUCGUCAGCUCGUGUCGUGAGAUGUUGGGUUAAGUCCCGCAACGAGCGCAACCCACGUCGUUAGUUGCCAGCAUUUAGUUGGGCACUCUAGCGAGACCGCCGGUGAUAAACCGGAGGAAGGUGUGGAUGACGUCAAGUCAUCAUGCCCCUUACAUCCUGGGCUACACACGUACUACAAUGCUACGGACAAAGGGCAGCAAACUCGCGAGAGCUAGCAAAUCCCAUAAACCGUGGCUCAGUUCAGAUCGUAGGCUGCAACUCGCCUACGUGAAGGAGGAAUCGCUAGUAAUCG
This 426-nucleotide ribosomal RNA is filed under the name uncultured bacterium. RNAcentral describes it as "bacterial SSU rRNA". It matches the Rfam family "Bacterial small subunit ribosomal RNA", at positions 917 to 1344 of the family's 1533-position model. The record is from RNAcentral.